RNAcentral lists this non-coding RNA (119 nucleotides) under Stegodyphus mimosarum. RNAcentral's name for it is "eukaryotic small subunit ribosomal RNA". It matches the Rfam family "Eukaryotic small subunit ribosomal RNA", at positions 477 to 594 of the family's 1831-position model. The record is from Rfam by way of RNAcentral. Lineage: Eukaryota; Metazoa; Arthropoda; Arachnida; Araneae; Eresidae.
AUAUGCAUACGAGACUCUUUUGAGACCUCUUAAUUGGAAUGAGUGCACUCGAAAUCCUUUAACCAGGAUCAAUUGGAUUACAAGUCUGGUGCCAGCAGCCGCGGUAAUUCCAGCUCCAA